Molecule: ribosomal RNA, 512 nt
Filed under: Klebsiella pneumoniae
Lineage: Bacteria; Pseudomonadati; Pseudomonadota; Gammaproteobacteria; Enterobacterales; Enterobacteriaceae
Also listed under: 1 other name
Description: partial 23S ribosomal RNA
Rfam family: Bacterial large subunit ribosomal RNA
Source: RNAcentral
GGGACACGUGGUAUCCUGUCUGAAUAUGGGGGGACCAUCCUCCAAGGCUAAAUACUCCUGACUGACCGAUAGUGAACCAGUACCGUGAGGGAAAGGCGAAAAGAACCCCGGCGAGGGGAGUGAAAAAGAACCUGAAACCGUGUACGUACAAGCAGUGGGAGCACCUUCGGGUGUGACUGCGUACCUUUUGUAUAAUGGGUCAGCGACUUAUAUUCUGUAGCAAGGUUAACCGUAUAGGGGAGCCGCAGGGAAACCGAGUCUUAACUGGGCGUUAAGUUGCAGGGUAUAGACCCGAAACCCGGUGAUCUAGCCAUGGGCAGGUUGAAGGUUGGGUAACACUAACUGGAGGACCGAACCGACUAAUGUUGAAAAAUUAGCGGAUGACUUGUGGCUGGGGGUGAAAGGCCAAUCAAACCGGGAGAUAGCUGGUUCUCCCCGAAAGCUAUUUAGGUAGCGCCUCGUGAAUUCAUCUUCGGGGGUAGAGCACUGUUUCGGCUAGGGGGUCAUCCCGA